GACGAACGCUGGCGGCGUGCUUAACACAUGCAAGUCGAACGGAAAGGCCCUGCUUUUGUGGGGUGCUCGAGUGGCGAACGUGUGAGUAACACGUGAGUAACCUGCCCUUGACUUUGGGAUAACUUCAGGAAACUGGGGCUAAUACCGGAUAGGAGCUCCUGCUGCAUGGUGGGGGUUGGAAAGUUUCGGCGGUUGGGGAUGGACUCGCGGCUUAUCAGCUUGUUGGUGGGGUAGUGGCUUACCAAGGCUUUGACGGGUAGCCGGCCUGAGAGGGUGACCGGCCACAUUGGGACUGAGAUACGGCCCAGACUCCUACGGGAGGCAGCAGUGGAGAAUAUUGCACAAUGGGCGGAAGCCUGAUGCAGCAACGCCGCGUGCGGGAUGACGGCCUUCGGGUUGUAAACCGCUUUCGCCUGUGACGAAGCGUGAGUGACGGUAAUGGGUAAAGAAGCACCGGCUAACUACGU
This 467-nucleotide ribosomal RNA is filed under the name uncultured bacterium. RNAcentral describes it as "partial 16S ribosomal RNA". It matches the Rfam family "Bacterial small subunit ribosomal RNA", at positions 28 to 506 of the family's 1533-position model. The record is from RNAcentral.